GACUGUAUAGCGCAGUGGAUUAGCGCGUCUGACUUCGGAUCAGAAGGUCGUGGGUUUGAAUCCCAUUGUGGUCG
This is a transfer RNA of Ipomoea nil (Japanese morning glory), 74 nucleotides long. It matches the Rfam family "tRNA". Rfam says of the family: Transfer RNA (tRNA) molecules are approximately 80 nucleotides in length. Their secondary structure includes four short double-helical elements and three loops (D, anti-codon, and T loops). The record is from Rfam. NCBI's taxonomy places the organism in Eukaryota, Viridiplantae, Streptophyta, Magnoliopsida, Solanales, Convolvulaceae.